UACGUAGGUCCCGAGCGUUAUCCGGAAUUAUUGGGCGUAAAGAGCAUGUAGGCGGUUUAUUAAGUUUGGUGUGAAAGCUAGUGGCUCAACCACUAAAUUGCAUUGAAAACUGGUAAACUAGAAUACUGGAGGGGCAAGUGGAAUUCCAUGUGUAGCGGUGGAAUGCGUAGAUAUAUGGAGGAACACCAAUGGCGAAGGCAGCUUGCUGGACAGAGAUUGACGCUGAGAUGCGAAAGCGUGGGUAGCAAACAGG
Molecule: ribosomal RNA, 253 nt
Filed under: uncultured bacterium
Lineage: Bacteria
Description: partial 16S ribosomal RNA
Rfam family: Bacterial small subunit ribosomal RNA
Source: RNAcentral